RNAcentral lists this long non-coding RNA (3049 nucleotides) under Nicotiana tabacum (common tobacco). Its description in RNAcentral is "long non-coding RNA (NTAB_LNC003277)". Lineage: Eukaryota; Viridiplantae; Streptophyta; Magnoliopsida; Solanales; Solanaceae. The record is from RNAcentral.
UUCUCAUCUUCCUUGUGCCAUCACCGGCGGUCACCGAAAUCACAAGUAAGUUUUUUUCGCUCUAUAUUUUUUUUUCUCUCUCCUUUCCUCUCUAUUUCCUCCUUCCCUUCCACCUUUCUUUUCCCCCUUCUUCUUUACACCCCUCACUGCCCCUUUUUUCACCUCCCCCCACCCUCAAAUUUGCCCCUAUUUUCUUCCCCUCCCUCGCUCUUUCUCCAUUUUCUCAUUCCAUAUUCUUUCAUUUUUCUGUCCAUCCCCAGUUCGCCCCGCUUUCUUCAAGAUUGCGACGUCCCAGAUCUGGGCUAAGGAGCAUCACCUCCGCUCUCUAGAUAUCCUCUUUUUCCCUCUUAGAGCGGGCCCGACGGUCGUAUGCAGACACCAACUCGACAGCGAUGACCAGCGGCGGCAGAGGCAUGUGGCGGAGUGUGGAAGGACAGAAAUUGACACAGGCGGGUGUAAUAACAAUGUUUUGACAUCCAAAUCGGUAAUCCAGGUUCUGAUCACCCAGAGUGGGUACCUCCAGAUAUCCUGUCUCCCCUUUGUUUUCCUUUCUAGUAAGUUGCAUAAUUGCAUUAGUUAGUUUUAGUACAAUGCCUAUUUACUUUUCUGCAAUAUUGUUUGGCUCAUUAGCUUUAGUAGAAUUCUUAUUUUCCCGCUUGAAGUUUUAUUUUGGUUCUUAAGCUUUCUAAUUUGUAGCUUAUAUUUUUUUGUUUAUGCUAUUUGAUAUUUUAGUGUUAGCUGUGAGCAUGUAAUUUUUGCCUUAUGUGAAUUACUCCCAUAAAAUACAAGAAAAAUAAAUUUUUCUAUUAAUUACAAUAUUGUAGGAUUUUGUGAGAAUUUGCGCUAAUUGUUUGCAUUUCUGUGCAUGUUUAUUUCUAUUUAAAUCAUGAAAAGUACAAAAAAAAAGCAUCAUGCAUCACAUUUAGGUUAUUCUACAGUUCCAGGAUUAAUUAAUCAGUUAUUUGUUUUGUUAAAAUUGAAAAGCACAAAAUUGGUUCAUUUUUACAAUUAUUGUCUUUAAUUUUAGAUUGUUGAUGUUUCUCUUUUAAUUUAGGAUCAGAUAAUGUUUAUAAAUUUUGCACUUUGAUAAUUAGUUUAAUUUCACAACUCGGACUAAUUUGGGGUAAUUUAUAUUUUUUAUUAAUUUAGGAAGAAGAAAAAGAAAAAGGAAAAAAAUUGAAAAGGAAAAGGAAUUAAUUAUAAAACAAAGAGAAGGAAAGUUUGAAUUUGUUUUAAAACCCAAAAUUGGGCCAAUUUGGUGGAAACCCAAACUAUUCUGUGGCCCAGGGCAACCAGGUCCAAACCUCAUACCCGGUCCAAAGCCUUCAGUCCAUGAGACCCUGAAACGACGUAGUAUAGGAGGAAUACUACGUCAUUUUGAGUUCGUUAGUGUUAAAUUAUUCCUGGUCCUUCAUUUUAUAUGAUCUAAUGGCCCUAAAGACUUCCCCCAUUUUAAUUAAAAUUGUCCAAACGCUUCAUAUUAACCUAGGAUCUCUGCUCUUCAUCUCCCUCACACCCUGUAUCUCACCACUGUUCGCCGCCCACCAGAAAUCGCCAGCGACAACGGUUGACCUCAAAACCCCUUAAAAUCUUAACCAUGUAACCUCUGGUGCACCUCCAUUCCAAAUCCACCCUUGUUUUCUCUCCCAAACCACCCAUUCUCUCCAGAUCAGAGAUCGAAGUUAGCACUGAAAAUCCUUUCACCCUUUUUCUUCUGAUUUUCGCCUACUCUAGUUUCUUUUUGGUGUUAAAACGUGUGAAUCAACCAGUUUCGAUGUGAAAAAGCCAAUUGGUUGAGGGAUCGAUCUGUGUAUGGUGUCCAAGUUUGGUCAACAGUCUCUGAUAGGCCCUUAUCUCAAUUUCCUCUUCGUUCUUGACUCGUGAUGGGGAUUGUGACAAAGAGCACAAGCCAUGGAAGAAAUUCCGGCUAGUGCUCAAUGUUACAGUUCACACCAUGUGGUUGAGAUUCUUCACGCCGGAUGCCAUCAUCUGUGAGCCAUCAAUCUAGCCGGUACUUUUCUUCUUCUUCAUCUCAGUCGGGUUUAGAAAUCGCAGGUUUUUCAGUCGUUUAAUUAGGUAAUAAUAAUAGGUUAAGAAGCAAUAAAUUCUCUGUUAGCAUUUGUUAAUUUUCCUUUUUCCUUUUUACUUCUUUUUUUAUUAUUAUUCUUAUUCUGCUUCGUUAAGAAGAUCUCAUGUUACUAGAAUUCAGAAAUGAGUUAUUUUGGUUUUCUUAUUUUUCUUGUGAAUUUAUUGGUUUAGACUUGAACUUGGGUUUGCUAGUAGCCCAAAAAACUGGUUGAAGUUCAUUUGGUGCAGAAGCCCAAAGACAUUUGGACGGUUUGAUCCAAUGUCUAUGUUAAAGUAAUUACCAGCCUUAUAAAGGGUAGUUUAGAAAAUUUAAUAAGGGGAAUCUUACUUAAACCGCUUAGAAAAUUUCCAAGAAGGUGGGAUUGGGGGUAGAUUAACAAACAGAUUUUAACUACAGGGUCCAAAAUAAAAAAAUAAAAAUUGGGGAAAGGGUAAAUGGUGAAGUAUAGAAUCAGAUUUUGUUGCCCUAGGAGCUGGUUAUAUAAGGUUCAUUUUCUUUCAUUUAUAAGCAGAGAUUAGAGACCUGAAAAGGGAGCAAACGGUUGAAACCAUACACAUUGAUAUAAGUCCCAAAAUUAGAAAGAAAAAAAGAUACAAAAAAAUCAUCAAGUACAGUUCUAUUGUAGCCGGUUUGUUGAUAUUUCUUGGGUUUUAAAAGCUAGGGUAAUUUGUUGUUUACUUCUGGGUUCCAAAACAUGAAAAGCUGAUUGAUGAACUGAUGUUGGUUGUUGUUUUAAGAUCUGCUGAGAUUGUUAGUUCUUUGCUGAAUUAUUGUGACUAUUUUGGUUGUUUCAGGUAUGUUUCAAACUUUGAAAGUGCAAAAUGAAGUUGGAGAUGCAAUGUGUUUAAAUGAAAUUAGGCUUCCCUUCCAGAUUUUCUCUUCUUUUGUUUAGCAUUACAUGUAUUAAUUAGUUUGAUAGUCAAAGUUUCUAGUUGUAAUUAAUGUCAACAUCAACACCCU